CAUGUACUCUCUCUGUUCAACAAAAAAUAUUUCAAUUUUGUCAAAAUUUGGAUGUAUCUAGACAUGACUUAGUGUAUAGAUACGUUCAAAUUUAGUCAAAAUCGAGACAUCUUUUGUUGGACGGAAGGAAUACUUA
Molecule: non-coding RNA, 136 nt
Organism: Brachypodium distachyon (stiff brome)
Lineage: Eukaryota; Viridiplantae; Streptophyta; Magnoliopsida; Poales; Poaceae
Source: Rfam